RNAcentral lists this non-coding RNA (29 nucleotides) under Mus musculus (house mouse). The record is from RNAcentral. RNAcentral also lists the same sequence under 1 other name. Lineage: Eukaryota; Metazoa; Chordata; Mammalia; Rodentia; Muridae.
UCCAAAUGCUUUGCUGUAUUCGUUUUCUC